RNAcentral lists this ribosomal RNA (253 nucleotides) under uncultured bacterium. RNAcentral's name for it is "partial 16S ribosomal RNA". It matches the Rfam family "Bacterial small subunit ribosomal RNA", at positions 524 to 776 of the family's 1533-position model. The record is from RNAcentral.
UACGUAGGGGGCUAGCGUUGUCCGGGAUCAUUGGGCGUAAAGAGCGUGUAGGCGGUCCGGUAAGUCCGCUGUGAAAGUCGGGGGCUCAACCCUCGAAUGCCGGUGGAUACUGUUGGGCUAGAGUGCGGAAGAGGCGAGUGGAAUUCCUGGUGUAGCGGUGAAAUGCGCAGAUAUCAGGAAGAACACCUAUGGCGAAGGCAGCACUCUGGGACGGUACUGACGCUGAGACGCGAAAGCGUGGGGAGCGAACAGG